This 784-nucleotide unclassified non-coding RNA is filed under the name Hevea brasiliensis (rubber tree). Lineage: Eukaryota; Viridiplantae; Streptophyta; Magnoliopsida; Malpighiales; Euphorbiaceae. The record is from RNAcentral.
GUACAGCCUACAUUUUGCUGCUGCCACAUCAGUUGCGUUCUCACACACAAGCAGCAGAAGAGCUAUUUUGGGUGAUGCCUAAUGCUACCACAACUAAUAUAUGCCGAGGAAUGAAACAUAAAAUUAAUCAUGCUAACGUAGCUAAUUGAUAUAACAUAAUAAAUAUUUGGAUCAUGCCUGAAAGAAGAUGAGCACCCACAAUGAGCUCAAACUCAUCCAGGCCCAAAUAAGGCUUGGAGACUUAGAAUGAUUAAGCCCAUUAUGGCUAGUUUCAAUUUGAACAAAAAACCACCAACAUGGGUGCAGUUUUUAUCACUUCCUUUACAUGAAGAAGUGGAAGAGGAAGUAUAUGAGGCAGCCAGAUAAGGAGAUCAAGGUUGCAGUCUUGAAAAUUGAAACAAAACGUGUUUUGGCUUGGCUACAUUGCUGGGUGUUUGCAUUGGCAGUAGGUGGUUCAACUUGGUACCAUUUUUUGAAAGCUCUAUCUCAAGUUAUUUGUUUCUCAAGCUUUGUGGAGAUUCACUGCAGGUCCAGAUAACUCUUAGACCGUGAAUGAUGUCUAUGGUUGGUUCAUGCAAUAUGUGAUCAUUGCUUAGACUAGCAGUGCAAGGUUGAGUUCUAUGGUUUAUAAGCAUGAUAUCCUUUGAUCAUGGCUUUAAAAAUUCAAACAAUAUCAAAGAACGAACUGUGAAUUGUAUACCUGAGGUCAUAGCAAGAUGUAUAUCCAGCUGUUGUUCCCGCAAAUACUAGAUGAGAACAGGGGUUGAAACACAAAGUCUUUAUU